GUACUUACCUGGACGGGGUCAACGAGCGAUCAAGAAGGCUCCUGGCCUAGAUCAAUGGUUCAUAUUGCACUUGGUGAGCGCGUUGGUCUACCAUCUCCUCAAGUGGGAGAGUGGAUGUCGUAAUUUGUGAUAGAGGGGGUACGCGUUUGCACGGCCCCUAC
Molecule: small nuclear RNA, 161 nt
Filed under: Triticum aestivum (bread wheat)
Lineage: Eukaryota; Viridiplantae; Streptophyta; Magnoliopsida; Poales; Poaceae
Description: snRNA U1
Rfam family: U1 spliceosomal RNA
About the family: U1 is a small nuclear RNA (snRNA) component of the spliceosome (involved in pre-mRNA splicing).
Source: RNAcentral